This 450-nucleotide ribosomal RNA is filed under the name uncultured bacterium. Its description in RNAcentral is "partial 16S ribosomal RNA". It matches the Rfam family "Bacterial small subunit ribosomal RNA", at positions 354 to 796 of the family's 1533-position model. The record is from RNAcentral.
GUGGGGAAUAUUGGACAAUGGGCGAAAGCCUGAUCCAGCCAUACCGCGUGGGUGAAGAAGGCCUUCGGGUUGUAAAGCCCUUUUGUUGGGAAAGAAAUCCUGUCGGUUAAUACCUGGCGGGGAUGACGGUACCCAAAGAAUAAGCACCGGCUAACUUCGUGCCAGCAGCCGCGGUAAUACGAAGGGUGCAAGCGUUACUCGGAAUUACUGGGCGUAAAGCGUGCGUAGGUGGUGGUUUAAGUCCGUUGUGAAAGCCCUGGGCUCAACCUGGGAAUUGCAGUGGAUACUGGAUCACUAGAGUGUGGUAGAGGGAUGCGGAAUUUCUGGUGUAGCAGUGAAAUGCGUAGAGAUCAGAAGGAACAUCCGUGGCGAAGGCGGCAUCCUGGGCCAACACUGACACUGAGGCACGAAAGCGUGGGGAGCAAACAGGAUUAGAAACCCGAGUAGUCC